RNAcentral lists this long non-coding RNA (465 nucleotides) under Physcomitrium patens. Its description in RNAcentral is "long non-coding RNA (PPAT_LNC001729)". The record is from RNAcentral. Lineage: Eukaryota; Viridiplantae; Streptophyta; Bryopsida; Funariales; Funariaceae.
UACAAUGUAACAAUAGAAGCCUGAAUCUUAUGCAACCGGAUACUUUCCCUUUCAUGUGCAUUUGUCUCUGCAAGCCUGCUGGUUUGAGAACGGUACAUUAUGCCUGUAGACAUCACAAGUGAUUCUGUAAGCCCGUAAUUUGUCGACUAUACCACAUUGUUUUAUCAUUGAAGCAGUCCCUAAUCCUCCUGUCCUGUGUGUUUCAUACUCUGGCUGUUCCCCUGUCGGAAUGCAUCUUGAUUCCAGUGUGUGUCACGAAGUAUCGUGAGCAGAAUUCGUAGUCAAUAAUUGAAUUGAACAGCCUGCUAAUAUUCUGUAAACAUGAUCAGUAGUAAGUCUCUUGAAAUAAUUCCGAUGAAAGCCAACAGUGUAGUGCGACUAGCCAUAUACCGUCUGUCUUUUUAGUAAAAAUCGCAGUUAUUUCUAUAAUCUCCUAUCGUCAUUAAUCAGCUAGUUUACAUUCAA